Molecule: transfer RNA, 77 nt
Filed under: Candidatus Liberibacter ctenarytainae
Lineage: Bacteria; Pseudomonadati; Pseudomonadota; Alphaproteobacteria; Hyphomicrobiales; Rhizobiaceae
Description: tRNA-Arg
Rfam family: tRNA
About the family: Transfer RNA (tRNA) molecules are approximately 80 nucleotides in length. Their secondary structure includes four short double-helical elements and three loops (D, anti-codon, and T loops).
Source: RNAcentral
GCAUCCGUAGCUCAGCUGGAUAGAGUGUUGGAUUCCGAUUCCAAAGGUCACAGGUUCGAAUCCUGUCGGGUGCACCA